AGUGAACGCUGGCGGUAGGCCUAACACAUGCAAGUCGAACGGCAGCACAGGAGAGCUUGCUCUCUGGGUGGCGAGUGGCGGACGGGUGAGGAAUACAUCGGAAUCUACUUUUUCGUGGGGGAUAACGUAGGGAAACUUACGCUAAUACCGCAUACGACCUACGGGUGAAAGCAGGGGACCUUCGGGCCUUGCGCGAUUGAAUGAGCCGAUGUCGGAUUAGCUAGUUGGCGGGGUAAAGGCCCACCAAGGCGACGAUCCGUAGCUGGUCUGAGAGGAUGACCAGCCACACUGGAACUGAAACACGGUGCAGACGCCUACGGGAGGCAGCAGUGGGGAAUAUUGGACAAUGGGCGCAAGCCUGAUCCAGCCAUACCGCGUGGGCGAAGAAGGCCUUCGGGUUGCAAAGCCCUUUUGUUGGGAAAGAAAUCCAGCUGGCUAAUACCCGGUUGGGAUGACGGUACCCAAAGAAUAAGCACCGGCUAACUUCGUGCCAGCCGCCGCCGUAA
Molecule: ribosomal RNA, 506 nt
Filed under: uncultured bacterium
Lineage: Bacteria
Description: partial 16S ribosomal RNA
Rfam family: Bacterial small subunit ribosomal RNA
Source: RNAcentral